Molecule: ribosomal RNA, 260 nt
Filed under: uncultured bacterium
Lineage: Bacteria
Description: partial 16S ribosomal RNA
Rfam family: Bacterial small subunit ribosomal RNA
Source: RNAcentral
UGAGUGGCGACGGGUGAGUAACGCGUGGGCAACCUGCCCUGUACAGGGGGACAACACUUAGAAAUAGGUGCUAAUACCGCAUAACGGGGGGAGCCGCAUGGCACCCCCCUGAAAACUCCGGUGGUACAGGAUGGGCCCGCGUCUGAUUAGCUGGUUGGCAGGGUAACGGCCUACCAAGGCGACGAUCAGUAGCCGGCCUGAGAGGGUGAACGGCCACAUUGGGACUGAGACACGGCCCAGACUCCUACGGAAGGCAGCAG